AUGGCCUGUGCUCUAGUCCCUAACCAGGAGUGGUACCUGGAGGGAAAAAUAGUAUUCUCUGUGCGGCAGCUCGGCCCAGGAUACUUGGAGAACAGAGACGAAAAGAAUGUCAAGGGGAGGAAACAAGGAGAGCCGAGAAAAGGGGCUGUGAAAACCGUCUUCAUUUUUCUUCCAUCCCUUCAAUGGCCUGGGAAAAGCCUGGAAGAUGCUUCUGUCAGGUACUACCUUUGGAAUACAACCCACCAGGAAGAACAGGGAGAAUUUUCUUUUCCAUUUCUCUUCCCAGCUCUUUCCCCAGAUGGGAGGCCUGAGGGCUGUGUAGGAAGAUAACCAGGUGCUGAAGUGCUGCUUUUAAUUGCUGUGAGCUGGGCCUUCCUCCUGUCUCUGUUUAUUUAUCCUGAACAGAAGGGCAGGCACCUGGAGGAAUAGGUUCAUAGUUCCUACCUGGGGCCUUUGCUGGGGCCCCUGCUGAAAAGCAGCCUGAGGACGGAAACUGUUUAGAACAGUGGAGAGUCCUGUCUGAAUGUGCUGUAGGCAGCUGCAGGGAAAGCGUGAGGGAGUCUGGGAAAUGAGCACAUCUGUCCCCCAGGGGUCUCCACUGGUGUUUUCAGACUAAUGCAUAUACCCUUUCAGCUGCCAUCACAGGAGAGGGACGCGUCACCAGGAACCCCCCCUAUGCUACAGGUCAGCACAUUUAACCCUCCAGCAGUCCCGAGAAAGCCAAUGACUGUCAUUCCCACUUGGUCUUCGGGGACUCCAAGGCUCAGAGACAUCGAGUAACUUCUCCAGAUUUACACAGCUAGUCCGUGGAAAAGGAUUCCAGAACUGUCUCCCCUCUGGGGGAACGUUACUUCUUGUCCCUUCUUGUUGUAUUGUGUUCUGUCCUUCCUGCAUGCUUGGGUGCACGCAGGUAUUGUGCUUCCUUUGCACAACUCUUGACAGCACUCAAGAAGAAGAAGAAGAUGUAGACACUAAAAAAGUGGCACGGAGACUGUCGGUCAUAUGGUGCCGUGUGUAUACGGGCCUGGCGGCUGCAGAAACAAUAACUAGAGUAGCCAAGAUGUGGGUCAUUCCUCUCCCUAGGAGGGGACGGUUUGUGUUUGCCAGCUUCAAGAAGCCCACCAGCUUCUUGCAAAAGACAUCAUUAGAUGAAAGUCAGCUCUUCCCACCUCCGUAAACCAAACCAAAUAAAGCCAUUUGGACUUGAUGUUCAGAAACUCUCCACUCUACAGUAUUAAUUCAUGAAAAGAAAAGAAAAAGGGAAAGACCCAUUCCUUGGACAAGAUGUGAGUUUCCAUUUUUAAAUGGUAUGAUUUCAAAUGCUAAAAGGGCAGAGUGAAACUAGGGCACACCAGAAGGAAUUUCCCCAAGUAUGGCCCUUGUUCAGUGGGUCCACUGUGCUCACACACUGUGGGCUUACGCUCUGUGGCAUGGUUGAAGGGACAAUGGCAGGACGAGAAGAAAUACCCAGGCUCCCAGCACUGUUCUUCUGGGUAUUCCAGUCACCAAACCUUUAGUGAGUGCUUGCCUUUCUCCAGACCUACACUAGGUGCUAGGCAUGCAAAGUGAGAUUCUCAACAUAUUCUUGUGUGUCUUUCAGAAACUGUAAAAACGGUGUAAGGUAUUUAAUAAUUAGGUUGGUUACAAAAAGGAGAAAGGUGAGGAGGAGAAGAAAGAGGAGAAGAGAAAUCAAGUGUUGGCGAGGAUGUGGGGCAAAGGGAACACUUGUAUCCUGUUGGUGGGAAUGUUAAGUGGUGUGGCCCCUGUGGGGAAACAAUAUGGCGGUUCUUCAAAAAAAUAAAUAAAUAAAGGCCAUAUGAUCUAGCAAUUCCAUUUCUGGGUAUACCCCAAAGAAUUUUAUUUUAAUACCCAAAAGAAUUAAAAACAGGGUCUCAAAGAGAUAUUUGUACCUCCAUGUUCAUAACAGCAUUAUUCACAAUGCCCCAAAGGUGGAAACAACACAACAGUCCGUCUUUGGAUGAGUGGAUAAGCAAAGUGGGAUCUAUCCGUACAACGGAAUACUAUUUAGCCUUAAAAACGAAGGAAAUUCUGACACAUGCUACAGCACAGCUGUACCUGGAAGACAUCAUGGUAAGUGACAUAAGCCAGUCAGAAAAGAACAAAUACUACAUAAUCCCACUUGUACAAGGAACCUAGAAUAGUCAGAUCCACAGGGACGGAAAUUGGAACGGUGGUGGCUAGGAGCUGAGCAGAAGGAGGCAAGAAGAGUCAUUGUUUCAUGCAUACAGACUUCUGGCUUUGCAAGGGGAAAGGGUUCUGGAGAGGGAUGGUGGAGAUGGUUGCACUGAAGUCAAUGUACUAAGUGCCACGGAAUCGUACACUUAAAAAUGGCCAAGAUGGUAAAUGUUAUGUGCAUGUCACCACAGUAAAAUAGAAAAUAAAAUAGAAAUCCCCAAAGCAGUCCUGCACAAUCGGUUUCAUUCACCUCAUUUUCCAAGCGAGGAAAGCAAGGUGCAGAGAAGUGAAGUAGCUUGCAAGGGCCACACAGCAGAGUGGACUCUCGAGAAAGGCUGCCCUGCCCACCCCUCCACCGAGCUGCCUGGUACCCGCUGGGGGGCCAAGGAUGCCACACAUAUACAUGCCGAAGCCGCACGGCUUCAUCUCCUCUCUGUGCCCUUUUCUUUCUCUAGACCACCAUCCUUCUAACGCUGCCUUUCCCAGUGUCCUUAUUCUUUCUGCUGCCUUCCCCUCAUCAAAAGGUGCUCUCAGGAAAAAAAAAAAAAAAACAAAACAAAAAACCGAGCACUCGUUUAUACCUAAGUUACAUGGUGUGAAUUUAAAUCAGUAUGCCACCUCUCCAAGGGGUGCUUGCAUUUUAAGCCUCAUCACCCUGUAUGAGAUGAAAGCCUUUGUUCCAUAUUAAAGGAAUUUCAGGCAUCAGGGAGAGGGCGGGAAGGAUCUGGAAGGGUGGUGGUGGCAGGCAGGGCAGAACGCAGAGAAACGCAGUAAACGGGGGAACCUGAGUCACGCGGUUAAGAAGGGAGAUCUAGCCUCUGCCUUCGGCUCGGGUCAUGGUCCCAGGGUCCUGGGAUCGAGCCCCGCAUGAGGCUCUCCGCUCCGCGGGGGGCCUGCUUCCUCCUCUCUCUCUGCCUUUCAGGGCUCAACCACCUUGUGGGGUGUGGAUACAAGGCAGGUAGGUGGACCUUCAUGUUAAACCCUCCCCUUCAAGCAGGCUCGGUCGUCUGAGCUCUGGACCGCACGCAGUCCUGCUUGGCCUCAGAACUUGCAUGCUCUCAAGAGAAUUGAUUUGCUCGGGGCUUCCUUUGCCUGACAGUUCUCAAUGCCUCUGCUCUUCUUGUUAUAUCAUGAAAUUCUAGUCUCAAGCCACCGGGUGCCGUAGUCAGAGAUCUCUGUGCAGAGAACCUGAGCUUUCACGCCUUUAGUACAAGAGGUCACUUCAUAUACACAUUAACCCAGUAAGUUGUGUAGACUCAAAGGCCAACCACUGGGAUGUGAAAGCCUGUCUUCUGGGCGCUCACAACCAAGACUGGGAAUUCCCAGGGAGUGGAACAGACAUACCAAUAGCAUCCAGGUCAAGAGCCUGAGCUCUGAGUCAGGUGUCUGGUCUGUGUCCCUAUUCCUCCGCCUGCCAGCUGUGUGACCUUUGGGAAGUUGCGUUGCUUCUUUGUGUCCCUUAGUUUCUUAAUCUCUGCAAUGGGAAUAGUAAGACAUCUCUCUCACAGGGGAGCAAGGCUCCAAAUGUAGCAGUUCUGGCUGCUGUCUUUGUGUGAAGAACAAUUUUUGCUCCCCCGAGAUGAAGCCUCUUCCUCAGCACAGCCCUUGGUGGGCGAGGGCAAGGGUAGACUUUAGUCCCACUUGCCUCCUCAGCCAGACAACAGAUGACACAACUAAUGACACCACUAUACUGUGCAGGCCCGCGGGAGGAG
Molecule: long non-coding RNA, 3908 nt
Organism: Mustela putorius furo (domestic ferret)
Lineage: Eukaryota; Metazoa; Chordata; Mammalia; Carnivora; Mustelidae
Source: Ensembl